AUUUUACCCGCUGAACUUAAGCAUAUCAAUAAGCGGAGGAAAAGAAACUAACAAGGAUUCCCCUAGUAACGGCGAGUGAAGAGGGAAGAGCUCAAAUUUUGAAUCUGGCGUCUCUGGCGUCCGAAUUGUAAUCUAGAGAAGUGUUUUCCGUGACGGACCGUGCACAAGUCUCCUGGAAUGGAGCGUCAUAGAGGGUGAGAAUCCCGUAUAUGGCAUGGACUCCCGUUGCUCUGUGAUACACUCUCGACGAGUCGAGUUGUUUGGGAAUGCAGCUCUAAAUGGGUGGUAAAUGCCAUCUAAAGCUAAAUAUUGGCGAGAGACCGAUAGCGAACAAGUACCGUGAGGGAAAGAUGAAAAGCACUUUGGAAAGAGAGUGAAACAGUACGUGAAAUUGUUGAAAGGGAAACGCUUGAAGUCAGUCGCGCCGUUCGGGAUUCAGCCUUGCUUCUGCUCGGUUUACUUCCCGUUGGGUGGGUCAACAUCAGUUUCGAUCGGAGGAGAAAGGCUUGGGGAAGGUAGCAGCAUUCGUGCUGUGUUAUAGCCCCUUGUUGUAUACUUCGAUUGGGACUGAGGACCGCAGCACGCCUCUGGCCGGGGUUCGCCCACGUACGUGCUUAGGAUGUUGGCAUAAUGGCUUUAAGCGACCCGUCUUGAAACACGGACCAAGGAGUCUAACAUGUGCGCGAGUGUUUGGGUGUUAAACUCGGACGCGAAAUGAAAGUGAAAAGUUGGGAACACUUAUGUGUGCACCGACGCCCGGAGCUGACCUUCUGUGACGCAUCUGCGGUAGAGCGUAUAUGUUGGGACCCGAAAGAUGGUGAACUAUGCCUGAAUAGGGUGAAGCCAGAGGAAACUCUGGUGGAGGCUCGUAGCGAUUCUGACGUGCAAAUCGAUCGUCAAAUUUGGGUAUAGGGGCGAAAGUCUUUUCAACCAUCUAGUAGCUGGUUCCUGCCGAAUC
Molecule: ribosomal RNA, 958 nt
Filed under: uncultured Sebacinaceae
Lineage: Eukaryota; Fungi; Basidiomycota; Agaricomycetes; Sebacinales; Sebacinaceae
Description: eukaryotic LSU rRNA
Rfam family: Eukaryotic large subunit ribosomal RNA
Source: RNAcentral